UGGGGAAUUUUGGACAAUGGGGGAAACCCUGAUCCAGCCAUCCCGCGUGUGCGAUGAAGGCCUUCGGGUUGUAAAGCACUUUUGGCAGGAAAGAAACGUCGCGGGUUAAUACCCCGCGAAACUGACGGUACCUGCAGAAUAAGCACCGGCUAACUACGUGCCAGCAGCCGCGGUAAUACGUAGGGUGCAAGCGUUAAUCGGAAUUACUGGGCGUAAAGCGUGCGCAGGCGGUUCGGAAAGAAAGAUGUGAAAUCCCAGAGCUUAACUUUGGAACUGCAUUUUUAACUACCGGGCUAGAGUGUGUCAGAGGGAGGUGGAAUUCCGCGUGUAGCAGUGAAAUGCGUAGAUAUGCGGAGGAACACCGAUGGCGAAGGCAGCCUCCUGGGAUAACACUGACGCUCAUGCACGAAAGCGUGGGGAGCAAACAGGAUUAGAUACCCUGGUAGUCCACGCCCUAAACGAUGUCAACUAGCUGUUGGGGCCUUCGGGCCUUGGUAGCGCAGCUAACGCGUGAAGUUGACCGCCUGGGGAGUACGGUCGCAAGAUUAAAAACUCAAAUG
Molecule: ribosomal RNA, 560 nt
Filed under: uncultured bacterium
Lineage: Bacteria
Description: partial 16S ribosomal RNA
Rfam family: Bacterial small subunit ribosomal RNA
Source: RNAcentral